CAUUUUUUGUAAAGCUGAAUAAAAUGAGUGAGAACU
This 36-nucleotide small nucleolar RNA is filed under the name Lonchura striata (white-rumped munia). RNAcentral describes it as "domestica (Bengalese finch) Small nucleolar RNA SNORD116 (ENSLSDG00000003261.1)". Lineage: Eukaryota; Metazoa; Chordata; Aves; Passeriformes; Estrildidae. The record is from RNAcentral.